This 474-nucleotide ribosomal RNA is filed under the name uncultured bacterium. RNAcentral describes it as "partial 16S ribosomal RNA". It matches the Rfam family "Bacterial small subunit ribosomal RNA", at positions 28 to 507 of the family's 1533-position model. The record is from RNAcentral.
GACGAACGCUGGCGGCGUGCUUAACACAUGCAAGUCGAGCGGUAAGGCUCCUUCGGGAGUACACGAGCGGCGAACGGGUGAGUAACACGUGAGUAAUCUGCCCUUCACUUCGGGAUAACCACCGGAAACGGUGGCUAAUACCGAAUACGACCAGUCUUCGCAUGAGGUGCUGGUGGAAGGUCUUUUCGUUGAAGGAUGUGCUCGCGGCCUAUCAGCUUGUUGGUGGGGUAAUGGCCUACCAAGGCUUCGACGGGUAGCGGGCCUGAGAGGGUGACCGGCCACACUGGGACUGAGACACGGCCCAGACUCCUACGGGAGGCAGCAGUGGGGAAUAUUGGACAAUGGGCGAAAGCCUGAUCCAGCAACGCCGCGUGAGGGAUGACGGCCUUCGGGUUGUAAACCUCUUUCAGUACCGACGAAGCGCCCUGUCGGGUGGUGACGGUAGGUACAGAAGAAGGACCGGCCAACUACGUG